Molecule: ribosomal RNA, 449 nt
Filed under: uncultured bacterium
Lineage: Bacteria
Description: partial 16S ribosomal RNA
Rfam family: Bacterial small subunit ribosomal RNA
Source: RNAcentral
AACGAACGCUGGCGGCAUGCCUAUCACAUGCAAGUCGAACGAGAUCUUCGGGUCUAGUGGCACACGGGUGCGUAACGCGUGGGAAUCUGCCCUUUGGUUCGGAAUAACAGUUGGAAACGACUGCUAAUACCGGAUGAUGACGAAAGUCCAAAGAUUUAUCGGCAGAGGAUGAGCCCGCGUAGGAUUAGCUUGUUGGUGUGGUAAAGGCGCACCAAGGCGACGACCCUUAGCUGGUCUGAGAGGAUGAUCAGCCACACUGGGACUGAGACACGGCCCAGACUCCUACGGGAGGCAGCAGUGGGGAAUAUUGGACAAUGGGCGAAAGCCUGAUCCAGCAAUGCCGCGUGAGUGAUGAAGGCCUUAGGGUUGUAAAGCUCUUUUACCCGGGAUGAUAAGGACAGUACCGGGAGAAUAAGCUCCGGCUAACUCCGUGCCAGCCGCCGCAGUAA